RNAcentral lists this ribosomal RNA (468 nucleotides) under uncultured bacterium. Its description in RNAcentral is "partial 16S ribosomal RNA". It matches the Rfam family "Bacterial small subunit ribosomal RNA", at positions 28 to 507 of the family's 1533-position model. The record is from RNAcentral.
GAUGAACGCUGGCGGCGUGCUUAACACAUGCAAGUCGAACGGAAAGGCCCAAGCUUGCUUGGGUACUCGAGUGGCGAACGGGUGAGUAACACGUGGGUGAUCUGCCCUGCACUUCGGGAUAAGCCUGGGAAACUGGGUCUAAUACCGGAUAGGACGAUGGUUUGGAUGCCAUUGUGGAAAGGUUUUUCGGUGUGGGAUGAGCUCGCGGCCUAUCAGCUUGUUGGUGGGGUAAUGGCCUACCAAGGCGUCGACGGGUAGCCGGCCUGAGAGGGUGUACGGCCACAUUGGGACUGAGAUACGGCCCAGACUCCUACGGGAGGCAGCAGUGGGGAAUAUUGCACAAUGGGCGCAAGCCUGAUGCAGCGACGCCGCGUGGGGGAUGACGGCCUUCGGGUUGUAAACUCCUUUCGCUAGGGACGAAGCGUUUUUGUGACGGUACCUGGAGAAGAAGCACCGGCUAACUACGUG